Molecule: ribosomal RNA, 1383 nt
Filed under: Brevibacterium sp.
Lineage: Bacteria; Bacillati; Actinomycetota; Actinomycetes; Micrococcales; Brevibacteriaceae
Description: bacterial SSU rRNA
Rfam family: Bacterial small subunit ribosomal RNA
Source: RNAcentral
GAGUCGAACGCUGAAGCCUGGUGCUUGCACCGGGUGGAUGAGUGGCGAACGGGUGAGUAACACGUGAGUAACCUGCCCCUGACUUCGGGAUAAGCCCGGGAAACUGGGUCUAAUACCGGAUACGACUGCCGGACGCAUGUCUGGUGGUGGAAAGUUUUUUCGGUUGGGGAUGGGCUCGCGGCCUAUCAGUUUGUUGGUGAGGUAAUGGCUCACCAAGACGACGACGGGUAGCCGGCCUGAGAGGGCGACCGGCCACACUGGGACUGAGACACGGCCCAGACUCCUACGGGAGGCAGCAGUGGGGAAUAUUGCACAAUGGGGGAAACCCUGAUGCAGCGACGCAGCGUGCGGGAUGACGGCCUUCGGGUUGUAAACCGCUUUCAGCAGGGAAGAAGCGCAAGUGACGGUACCUGCAGAAGAAGUACCGGCUAACUACGUGCCAGCAGCCGCGGUAAUACGUAGGGUACGAGCGUUGUCCGGAAUUAUUGGGCGUAAAGAGCUCGUAGGUGGUUGGUCACGUCUGCUGUGGAAACGCAACGCUUAACGUUGCGCGUGCAGUGGGUACGGGCUGACUAGAGUGCAGUAGGGGAGUCUGGAAUUCCUGGUGUAGCGGUGAAAUGCGCAGAUAUCAGGAGGAACACCGGUGGCGAAGGCGGGACUCUGGGCUGUAACUGACACUGAGGAGCGAAAGCAUGGGGAGCGAACAGGAUUAGAUACCCUGGUAGUCCAUGCCGUAAACGUUGGGCACUAGGUGUGGGGGGCAUUCCACGUUCUCCGCGCCGUAGCUAACGCAUUAAGUGCCCCGCCUGGGGAGUACGGUCGCAAGGCUAAAACUCAAAGGAAUUGACGGGGGCCCGCACAAGCGGCGGAGCAUGCGGAUUAAUUCGAUGCAACGCGAAGAACCUUACCAAGGCUUGACAUACACCGGACCGUCCUGGAAACAGGUCCUCUUCUUUGAAGCUGGUGUACAGGUGGUGCAUGGUUGUCGUCAGCUCGUGUCGUGAGAUGUUGGGUUAAGUCCCGCAACGAGCGCAACCCUCGUUCUAUGUUGCCAGCACGUGAUGGUGGGAACUCAUAGGAGACUGCCGGGGUCAACUCGGAGGAAGGUGGGGAUGACGUCAAAUCAUCAUGCCCUUUAUGUCUUGGGCUUCACGCAUGCUACAAUGGCUGGUACAGAGAGAGGCGAACCCGUGAGGGCAAGCGAAUCCCUUAAAGCCAGUCUCAGUUCGGAUCGUAGUCUGCAAUUCGACUACGUGAAGUCGGAGUCGCUAGUAAUCGCAGAUCAGCAACGCUGCGGUGAAUACGUUCCCGGGCCUUGUACACACCGCCCGUCAAGUCCACGAAAGUCGGUAACACCCGAAGCCGGUGGCCUAACCGUAAGGA